GUGGCAUCUCUGCCUUUUGGCUAAGAUCAUUUGUAAAAUCUGUUCUUAUCAGUUUAAUAUUUUAUACGUCCCGUAUCUAGGGACCGUGUAUUAACUUGAUGUUUGGUACGAAUAUUAUGCCACUAUUCCCAUCAUGUGUAGUCUUUCUGCUGACUGGAUAGCGCGCAGCAAAAGCUUUUCACU
Amblyraja radiata (thorny skate) is the source of this 183-nucleotide small nuclear RNA. RefSeq annotates it as U2 spliceosomal RNA. The transcript has a single exon. Lineage: Eukaryota; Metazoa; Chordata; Chondrichthyes; Rajiformes; Rajidae. The record is from RefSeq and is a predicted model, not a curated record.